GGGCCCGUAGCUCAGCAAGGCAGAGCGGCGGGCUCCAGACCCGUAGGGCGGGGGUUCAAAUCCCUCCGGGCCCACCA
This 77-nucleotide transfer RNA is filed under the name Thermoproteus uzoniensis 768-20. RNAcentral's name for it is "tRNA-Trp (CCA) (tRNA-Trp-CCA-1-1)". It matches the Rfam family "tRNA". From Rfam's summary of the family: Transfer RNA (tRNA) molecules are approximately 80 nucleotides in length. Their secondary structure includes four short double-helical elements and three loops (D, anti-codon, and T loops). The record is from RNAcentral. Lineage: Archaea; Thermoproteati; Thermoproteota; Thermoprotei; Thermoproteales; Thermoproteaceae. RNAcentral also lists the same sequence under 1 other name.